GGAUGGGUAGCGAAGAGGCUAAACGCGGCAGACUGUAAAUCUGUUCCUUCGGGUUCGGAGGUUCGAAUCCUUCUCCAUCCACCA
This 84-nucleotide transfer RNA is filed under the name Bacillota bacterium. RNAcentral's name for it is "tRNA-Tyr". It matches the Rfam family "tRNA". Rfam says of the family: Transfer RNA (tRNA) molecules are approximately 80 nucleotides in length. Their secondary structure includes four short double-helical elements and three loops (D, anti-codon, and T loops). The record is from RNAcentral. Lineage: Bacteria; Bacillati; Bacillota.